Molecule: long non-coding RNA, 2153 nt
Filed under: Pan paniscus (pygmy chimpanzee)
Lineage: Eukaryota; Metazoa; Chordata; Mammalia; Primates; Hominidae
Description: lncRNA (ENSPPAG00000044218.1)
Source: RNAcentral
AUGGGAAAUGUAGUGUCACCUUCCAAUGAUGUUACCAGGAAGGACCUUGGGAACCAGCUUUUCUGUCUGCUCAUGCGCCGCCCCGCCCACUCCACCAUUUUCCUCUGGAAGUGCUCAACCCUGAGGCGGUCCUGCGGCUGGGCAGGCUUGGGGCUUGGUUCUAUGUCCCUAUGGGUCGGUGUGAGGGCGAAGAGGGACCCGUGGGCCUCUGGGGAUCCCGGGGGGCCGGACCAGUGUUCCCUAGUUGUGGGAGCAGACGCGUGGGCGCAUCGCGGGCGAGCGAGGCCUGACGUGCAGCUAUGUUUCCAGUGUCCUCUGGGUGUUUCCAAGAGCAACAAGAAACGAAUAAAUCUCUGACAAAAAAGGCAGUCAUAUUUGUUACGUGAUUGGAAUGGAACCCGAGAAGAGAGCAUGCUGUGUUCUUGUGGGACAGGAAAGUUUGUGUGCAACAAGUCUGAACCACCACCUUCAUUGGUGACAUAGAUUAUGUGCUGGAACAUAUUUCACACCGGCCUGGCAGUAAACACUUAUAGUGUUGUGCAGUGGAAACGGUCACCUUCCGCUAAAGCAUGGCGUGUUGUGCAGUGGAAAUGGUCAUCUGCCACUAAAGCACAGUUUCCAUCGUAAGGUAUGAUCCUUGCUCAAAGAGUGUGGUCCCAAACAGCUUUUGGGAGGUCCUCCUUGAUUCAUGGAUGAGACCCGGAACAUCCUGAGGACUGAGUUAACCAUAGGUCCUUAAAUAACUCUCCACACCUUUUUCUUAGUUUAUCUCUACAUGCAGGGUGUGCAGCAGCCUGUUCAAAGUCAUAUUUUCCGGGAAACAUUUCCAGUGUUUAUUUGCGCUUUAGCCCACUCUGUGUAGUCUUAACUUAUUUCUUCUAAACUCACCAUUAACCUAAAUAAUAGUCAAAUUUAGCGGGACUGUAUUUGUCUUACUCGAGUCUUCUACCAUAGUUGAAACUGUCGUACCUGAGUGAGUUAGAGAGAAACGCCACACUUUGAGACGAAUUCAGGAGUCCUUUAUUAGCCGAUGGCUGAGAGAUGGCUAACGCACGAAAUUCUCUCGGCCCGGAAGAAGGGAAUAGAUUUACUUUUAUACUUUGGUUUAGAGAGGGGAGGGGAGAUUCCAGCUGCAGCAACUUUACAGAAGAAAAAAACAGACAAAAAAGUUUAAAAGACAGAUGGAUACAGGAAAACAAACUGUUCCCGGUGCAGGGGAUUUAAAUUCACCACAAAGUGAUAGGUGAGGGGGCUCUGGGCGUUAUCUGCUGGACAAAUGUGGUGGCUUUAUGAUACUAUCUCUGAGUAAUUUGCUGGGAACUGCCGACAUCGCUUGCCUCAGCACUUUAUCAGUUAAUUGCACUCUUUGAUAUGUUGAAAAUCAGCUUGCGCCAGUUAAAGUCCUUGAGGAAAGGGGGUGGGUAGGGAGCCCUUGAUGUCUUGUAAAUGAAGGAGCCAAAUGGAGUUUGUCUGGUUUUCUCAGCUAAAGGAGAGUCUAUUCAUGUUAAAAACAAGGUUAGCUAUCUAAGGAAGAGUCUUUUCAUGUUAAUAAAACGUUGGGUAUUACAAACCAUCUGUUCAUGAUCUAGAAAUUCUUCUGUGUUAGUUCUGUUAAAAGAAAAACUUUAAAGGAGUUUAAUUGAGCAAUAAACGAUUCACGAAUCGGACAGUCCCCAGAAUCACAGCAGAUUCAGAGACUCCAGUGCAGUCAUGUGGUGGAAGAAGAUUUAUAGACAAAAGGGAAGUGGCAUACCGAAAUUGGAAGUGAGGUACAGAAACAACUCAGUGUUUGCCUUGUUUGAACACAGUUUGAACAUUUGGCAGUGCCUGAGUGGUUGAAGUUUGUCCAUUGGGAUUGGCCAAGAUGUAGCUGUUGUUCCAGGUGCAUACUCUUAAGUUAGUUUUUCAUUCUUGUAUACUUAUUAAGGUAGGUUGCAGUUCAUCCACAAGGACUCAUAUAUAGAAUUGUGGAGUCCUUCUCAGGCCAUACUUAGUUCACUUUAACAAUGCCUUCCCUUUGGUUAUUUUCUCAAUUUUGAGAGAUUGGCCAAAAAUUCAGUCACUGGUGUCACUAUUACCAUUGCAAAUGUACUUACUUGGUUUAGAAACCCACUGGGAAAUAGACCAGUGAGAUUUGAAAAGGUGGAACAAGG